UACGGCCCCUCUGCAGGCCCGGGGGUGUGUCAGGCUGUGGGGAGUGACGUCCCGAGCCACGUGGGUGCUGCGUGGCUCGUAGUCCCUGUCAAGCACCGGUGACCCGCGGGGUGGGCAGCGGCCGGGCUUGCAGGUUUCCGUUCCUUCCCUUAAGACGCCAUUUGGGGGGCAGUGGGCGAGGUCCCCGGCCUCGGCCGCAGCUUUCCCUUAAGGCUGUCAUUCGGGGGGCGGAGGCUCAGGUCCGUAGCCAGCCCCGCUGCCCCCUUGAGGCAUCAUUUGGGGGAGCGGUGGGCAGGGGCGGUUUGUCUCUGCCCGCGGUCCUCCCUUAAGACGUCACUGGGGUCCGCAGUGGGGAGGGCCGGAGGGCCCCCAGAGUCCUCCCUGAUGGUGUCAUUUGCGGGGGGCAGCGGCCAGGUCCGUAGGCCCCCGCUGUUCUCCCUUAAGAUACCAUUCAGGUUGGCUGUGGGUCUGGUCUGAACCCCUGUAGUUCUCACUUAAGGCCUUUCGGGGGGGGCCGCGGGCCAGGUCCCUAGGGCUUGGCCCGCGGCCCCUCCUUAAGGCAUCACUUGGGGCUGCAGUGGGCAAAGGCCUGGAGGUCGCCGCUGUCUGCUCUCGGGGUCAUCUUGCCGAGCUGCGGUGUGGUGCUGCCCUGCUCGCAAACGGGUCAAGCACUGACAGUCUUUUCACACCCCCAAGCCCGAGCUACGGUGUGGUGCUGCCUAGCUCUGUGGGCGGUCAAGCACUGGUGGUCACUUGAGGGGGCUUGUGCCCUCUCAAGGCCAUCCCAUGGGGAAGCACGAGCACACGGGGUGCCGCCAAAGACAACCAGCAGAGAAGACAACACAAAAGCAGGUGUGAGCUGGCCUGCUAUUUAAUGGACAAAUAAAAUUGAUCUGCCUGGUGCCUUUCACCUCCAAGUUCCUGCUCCCCCUCUGCGCUGUUUCUCUUCUCUCCUGUCCUGUUCUUUCACAUCCAAGUUUCCCCGCCCGCUGCCCCCUUUCAUUUCUGCAGUGGUUCCCUUGCAACCACUGCGUGCUGAGGGCCUCCGGGCUGGCCACCCAGGAUGCUGAGUCCCUUGCUGAAAGGGAUUGGUGGCAGAUGUCGCUUGACUUGGCUCUCCAGGAGUCAAGUGUUGGAGACUGGCCUGGCCACCUGAGGCUGCAGCCCCAAAUCCUGCAAAGCAGGUCCCCUUUGGGGGUCUGCACGUCAUCCCCAGAAGGACAAACAGACAAGAUGGCAGAUGGGUCGGAGCGAGCUGACCGGGAAGGCGGAAAACGAGGCCAGCCUAACAGGAGGCACAGGCCUCGGGAGAACCAGAAGGAGAAGCAGCGGGGAAGAGGCGAGGUAGGAGAAAAGCCAGGCAGAGAAACAGGGUGAGAAGGAAAGGGACUCUGGACAGAGUGACCUCCCUGCCUUUAGGUCUCAAUCAUGUCUCAGCCAAAUUUUGGCUGCGUGAGCCUUUGGGCGAGCUCUCUGUAACUCAGAGAUGGAUCUCUGCCCUUGAAGCUGUUACACUUCUGUAGCAGUCAGGUGGAAGGUGGACAACCCUGUAAGCAAGGCGUGUGUCACCGCUACCUCGUUUGUAAAUCCAUGGAUCUGGCUGGUGGUCUUGUGCAGAGCAGCCGCCCUGUAAUCGUUGUGCAGGCCAGCUGCCAAACAUGACUGCCAAUGCUGCAGCCUCCUAUAAGCGGGGUGAGUGCUGCCUCCUAACAUGCGAGGACAGGCGAUAUGAACGUGUGUAGCGCUGGACAUCCCGUAAUUGGGAGUCCAAGUCCAUUGCUAUUGCUAGCCAGCUGGGAGAGGUGCCCCUGUAAGCAGGGUGGGCAUAGCCACCUACCGCUGGCUGGAGAGAGACGGAGCAGCCUGCCGCAUUGUGCAGCAGGACAGCCUUGCAGACAGGAGCCGGGUCUCGUUGGUGACAGCAAACUUUUUAGACCCCGUAGCCUGAUGACCUUCCCGUGGCUGGGUUGAAGCCUGUGGCCUCCUCACCUUUCCCUGUGUCCAGGCAUCUGUCCCUUGUCCUGCAUCAGUGCCUGGUACUCCAUGUCCGGACCCCUGGACUGCCCUGUAACGAGGGUGUGAGUCCCGCGUCUCUUGGUGGAGGACUAGGUUAUGCAAAGCAGUGAACCACCCUGUAAGCAGGGUCUGGGCAUCCACGUGCCUUUGGUGAGAGAUCUUUCCUUUGGCUAGCCUGAGGGCCCGCCCUGUAAGCAGGGCUCUGGGCAUGUCCCUUUUGAACCUUGUGGGCAGUCUGGCUGGUCAGACGGGCCGUGCCCUGUAAGGAGGGUGCGAGUCCCGUGUCUCUUGGUGGAGGGCUAGGUUCUGCAGAGCUGUGGACCACCCUGUAAGCAGGGUCCAGGUCUCAAUGUGCCUUUUGGGGACAGCUCUGUCCUUCGGCUGGCUGAGGGCCCUCCCUGUAAGGAAGCCCUCGCCUAUGUGCAAUCUGGCUGGCCAGGCAGGCCGUACCCUGAAAGGAGGGUGCCGGUCUUAGCCGUCUUGCCUCCUGGGAGCGGAGGAGGAUUUUGCAGGGUAAGGCUCGAGGACAAGCAGUUUGCAGCACGGAGCUGCUUUCCGGCCUGGGAACACUCUUCUUUGUCAGUGUGUGGCGAGCGAGAGAGAGGAGCGCCUGGGAAUGAAAGCGUUUGUUAUUUUCUUUUUGUUGUUAAAAUCGCUGCAGCGUACUUUAUUUUCUUCCCAGUGCUGGAAAGGGGCGAGAUGUGUCCACAUAGCCUUAUUCUUCCACCUCUGUACCUAGGGGGUUAAGCACCGGCAUAGAUUUCUGUGACUUCUGGCUUCGGGGAGCAUUAGGCCACCCCCCCCAGUGACCUCCCUGUCUCUCAGGGUACGGGUCUUGGGCCCCUCUUGGGUGGCCAGCACGGUCCUUUGCCCACUUGGUAGCUCACACGAAGACUUCCUGCCAUCCGUCCUGGGGGCAGGCUCUGUAUCCCAUACCCGAGUCCCUGGAGACAAGUGCCCUGGCACUUGGCCAGCCGUUCCCCUGCGCCCCUGGCCCCGGCCUGCAGCCUGUAAGCAGGGUCCAGGUCCCCUUGAUUUUCUGGGUCUUGUUCCAGUGGGUGAGGUUGGCCAGAGACGAUACCCACGGGCUACAGGGAAGGUUGCAGUGCGCUGGCACCCCGAGGCAUCGUGACCUCCCUGUAACUCAGGUCCAGGUCUCUGCUCCUCUGUUCUGCUGCUCCUGGCACUGUUGAGAGGGCCUCUCCCCGCACCCUGUAAACAGGGCUGCGCCCCCCACCCUCUCUGACCCUGGGGGAGGAGGAGGCUUUGUUUAGUCCUUUGGGCUCUGUGGCUUCAGUGACACGAGGCUGAAGUUGUGGCCCUUAUGUCCUCCAGGAAUGGGGCAAUUUUGACCCCUGGUCAAGACCGCCUGAGGUACCUGUCAGCUGGCAUUUAGGUCUUUUCAGGUUUUCUCUGGGCUUCAUGCCCCAGCAGCCAGCUGUGUGCCGGGAGCGCCGCCCUGUAAGCAGGGUUUCUGGUGUUGGCGGUCACCGCUCGUGGUGCCGCCCUAGCAGUUCUGUCCAGAGCCCUGGCCCAUCGCACGCAGCUUCUCGCUGGCCCGGAUGUCUGCCUCCCCCAUCUCCGCGGACAGAGGACAGCGGCCGCAGGUCCAGGCUCAAGCAGAGAAAAUGGCAGACCAGCAGGAAUCCACUUACAAGGAGGGAAGAAAACCAUGCCAGCCCAGCAAAGGUGUCGGAAGGACAAGCCGCAGGCAAGCCGUGACGGGCAAAAAGCCAGCAAAACGGGGUGCGAAGGGAAGGGACUCUGGACAGAAUGAUCUCCCUGUCUUCAGGUCUCAGUCAUGUAUUAGCCACUUUUUGCAUGUGUGAGCCUUUGGGCGAGCUCUCUGUAACUCAGAAAUGGGUCUCAGCCCUUGAAGCCGUUGCACUUCUGCAGCAGUCGGGUGGAAGGUGGACAACCCUGUAAGCAAGGCGUGUGUCACCGCCGCCUCUUCUAAAGGCCGUGGAUCUGGUUGGUGGUCUUGCGCAUCGCAGCCGCCCUGUAAUCAGGGUCCAGGCCAGCUGGCUGCCAAUGGUGCAGCCUCCUGUACGGGGGGUGCGUGCUGCCUCCUAACACGUGAGAACAACAGGCAAUUUGACCAUGUGUAGCGCUGGACAUCCCGUAAUUGGGAGUCCAAGUCCCCUGCCAUAGCCAGCCAGCCGGAGAGGUGCCCCUGUAAGCAGGGUGGGCAUAGCCGCCUUCCGCUGGGCUGAGAGACACGGCGCAGUCUGCCGCGUUGUGCAGCAGGAGGGCCUUGCAGACAGGAGCCGGGUCUCGUGGAGUGACAGCAAACUCUUCACAUCCCAGAGCCUGAUGACCUUCCCGUGGCUGGGUUGAAAUCUGUGGUCUCCUCACCGUUCUCUGAGUCCAGGCAUCUGUCCUUCAUCCUGCAUCUGUGCCUGGUACUCCACAUCCAGACCCCUGGGCCACCCUGUAACGAGGGGGCGAGUCCCAGGCAUCCUGUAGGACGGCCAGGGUCUGCAGAGCUGUGGACCACCCUGUAAGGAGGGUCCAGGUCUCAGUGUGCUUUUGGGGACAGCUCUGUCCUUUGGCUGGCUGUUGGCCCGCCCUGUAGGCAGGGCUCUGGGCACGUCCCUUUUGAACCUUGUGGGCAGUCUGGCUGGUCAGACGGGCCGGGCCCUGUAAGGAGGGUGCGAGUCCCGUGUCUCUUGGUGGAGGGCUAGGUUCUGCAGAGCUGUGGACCACCCUGUAAGCAGGGUCCAGGUCUCCAUGUGCCUUUUGGGGACAGCUCUGUCCUUUGGCUGGCUGUUGGCCCGCUCUGUAAGCAGGGCUCUGGGCAUGUCCCUUUUGAACCUUGUGGGGCAGUCUGGCUGGUCAGACAGGCCGGGCCCUGUAACGAGGGUGCAAGUCCCGUGUCUCUUGGUGGAGGGCUAGAUUCCGCAGAGCUGUGGACCACCCUGUAAGCAGGGUCCAGGUCUCCACGUGCCUUUUGGGGACAGCUCUGUCCUUCGGCUGGCUGAGGGCCCUCCCUGUAAGGAAGGCCUCGCUUAUGGGCGAUCUGGCUGGCCAGGCGGGCCGUACCCUGUAAGGAGGGUGCCGGUCUUAGCCGUAUUGCCUCCUGGGAGUGGAGGAGGAUUUUGCAGGGUAAGGCUCGAGGACAAGCAGUUUGCAGCACGGAGCUGCUUUCCGGCCUGGGAACACUCUUCCUUGUCAGAGUGUGGCGAGCGAGAGAGAGGAGCGCCUGGGAAUGAAAGCGUUUGUUAUUUUCUUUUUGUUGUUAAAAUCGCUGCAGCGUACUUUAUUUUCUUCCCAGUGCUGGAAAGGGGCGAGAUGUGUCCACAUAGCCUUAUUCUUCCACCUCUGUACCUAGGGGGUUAAGCACCGGCAUAGAUUUCUGUGACUUCUGGCUUCGGGGAGCAUUAGGCCACCCCCCCAGUGACCUCCCUGUCUCUCAGGGUACGGGUCUUGGGCCCUUCUUGGGUGGCCAGCACGGUCCUUUGCCCACUUGGUAGCUCACACGAAGACUUCCUGCCAUCCGUCCUGGGGGCAGGCUCUGUAUCCCAUACCCGAGUCCCUGGAGACAAGUGCCCUGGCACUUGGCCAGCCGUUCUCCUGCGCCCCUGGCCCCGGCCUGCAGCCUGUAAGCAGGGUCCAGGUCCCCUUGAUUUUCUGGGUCUUGUUCCAGUGGGUGAGGUUGGCCAGAGACGAUACCCGCGGGCUACAGGGAAGGUUGCAGUGCGCUGGCACCCCGAGGCAUCGUGACCUCCCUGUAACUCAGGUCCAGGUCUCUGCUCCUCUGUUCUGCUGCUCCUGGCACUGUUGAGAGGGCCUCUCCCCGCACCCUGUAAACAGGGCUGCGCCCCCCACCCGCUCUGACCCUGGGGGAGGAGGAGGCUUUGUUUAGUCCUUUGGGCUCUGUGGCUUCAGUGACACGAGGCUGAAGUUGUGGCCCUUAUGUCCUCCAGGAAUGGGGCAAUUUUGACCCCUGGUCAAGACCGCCUGAGGUACCUGUCAGCUGGCAUUUAGGUCUUUUCAGGUUUUCUCUGGGCUUCAUGACCCAGCAGCCAGCUGUGUGCCGGGAGCGCCGCCCUGUAAGCAGGGUUUCUGGUGUUGGCGGUCACCGUUCCUGGUGCCGCCCUAGCAGUUCUGUCCAGAGCCCUGGCCUUCGCACGCAGCUUCUGGCUGGCCCGGAUGUCUGCCUCCCCCAUCUCCGCGGACAGAGGACAGCGGCCGCAGGUCCAGGACCCCGAAGGGCAGCUGGAGAAGAAGGAACGGAACCAGCAGAAGCAAGCUCGGGAACAAGAAGUGUGGGUCGGGGUGGGCAGGAGGAAGGGGAAUGUUUAAUGUCUGCUCAGAGAAGGACAGAUGGAGGCUGUUGAGUGCAUCUACACUUUCACACACCCAGGAGGAGCAAGCAGCCACACGCUUCAAGUUGCACCGUGCAUUCAGUCUUGGGUUGGCCCCGAUUGUGUGCAGGGAGGUUGAGGCUUUGUGCUAGUCGUGCAUAUCGAUAUGCAGCAGUCAAGGGUUUUGCAGGUUGUGUGCAAGGAGGCUGAGGUGUUGUGCUAGUUGUGUGUAUUGAUAUGCAGCUGUCACGGGUGUCGCAGGCGGUUUGGCUUUGCCAGUGAAGCGGUGGAUCAGAAUAGGUGUGACUGAAGGCAGCGUGUAGGGCGUUCUUGGUUGGGUUGUUGAGCGGUUCUCGGUGUUAGUGUAGGAACACAGGUUUGUGCUCGGUUCUGUUUGUGGCUUGGCUGUAGCUUGCUUAGGCUGUAGCUUGCAGGGCCAAUUUGAGGCUGUUUAUGGUGCAAUUUGUUUGCGUCUGUAAAUUAAGGCUCUGUGGGUGUUUGAAAGUGUUAUUCUCCAGCUCCACGGGGACGAAGAUUUUGUCCUCUGUCCAAAUGAUCCUCAAGGUAGUUGGCAUGGUCCAUGUCAAACCAGUAGGAAGCAGGUGGGCCUAAGAUGUGCACAGUCAACAAUAAAUGGUCUAAAAACUGUCUACCUUGUGGCUGGUGCUCUUCUACGCGGAGAAGAUUUGGUCCUUUUCCUUUCCUACUGAGAUCUGGCUGAAGGAAUAAACUUUUUCAUUCUGUCUGCCGA
This is a long non-coding RNA of Alligator mississippiensis (American alligator), 7074 nucleotides long. RefSeq lists it as uncharacterized. The transcript is spliced from 5 exons. NCBI's taxonomy places the organism in Eukaryota, Metazoa, Chordata, Crocodylia, Alligatoridae. The record is from RefSeq and is a predicted model, not a curated record.